This 253-nucleotide ribosomal RNA is filed under the name uncultured prokaryote. RNAcentral's name for it is "partial 16S ribosomal RNA". It matches the Rfam family "Bacterial small subunit ribosomal RNA", at positions 525 to 777 of the family's 1533-position model. The record is from RNAcentral.
ACGUAGGAGACAAACGUUAUCCGGAGUUACUGGGCGUAAAGGGCGUGCAGGCGGCUUGUUAAGUUUGGCGUGAAAGCUCCUGGCUAAACCGGGAGAGGUCGUCGGAGACUGGCAGGCUCGAGGGUGAUAGAGGCGGGUGGAAUUCCGGGUGUAGUGGUGAAAUGCGUAGAGAUCCGGAGGAACACCAGUGGCGAAGGCGACCCGCUGGGUCACACCUGACGCUGAGACGCGACAGCAUGGGGAGCGAACGGGA